CCUACGGGAGGCAGCAGUGAGGAAUAUUGGUCAAUGGGCGAGAGCCUGAACCAGCCAAGUCGCGUGAGGGAGUACUGCCCUAUGGGUUGUAAACCUCUUUUGUCGGGGAGCAAAAGCCGGACGUGUCCGGCUGUGAGAGUACCCGAAGAAAAAGCAUCCGCUAACUCCGUUCCAGCAGCCGCGGUAAUACGGAGGAUGCGAGCGUUAUCCGGAUUUAUUGGGUUUAAAGGGUGCGCAGGCGGAUUUUUAAGUCAGCGGUCAAAUCGUGGGGCUAAACCCCAUCCAGCCGUUGAAACUGGGGAUCUAGAGUGUGCGAGAGGUAUGCGGAAUGCGUGGUGUAGCGGUGAAAUGCAUAGAUAUCACGCAGAACCCCGAUUGCGAAGGCGGCCUGCUGGACGAUGACUGACGUUGAGGCUCGAAAGCGUGGGGAGCAAACAGGAUUAGAUACCCCAGUAGUC
RNAcentral lists this ribosomal RNA (458 nucleotides) under uncultured bacterium. RNAcentral describes it as "partial 16S ribosomal RNA". It matches the Rfam family "Bacterial small subunit ribosomal RNA", at positions 338 to 795 of the family's 1533-position model. The record is from RNAcentral.